This 253-nucleotide ribosomal RNA is filed under the name uncultured bacterium. RNAcentral's name for it is "partial 16S ribosomal RNA". It matches the Rfam family "Bacterial small subunit ribosomal RNA", at positions 524 to 776 of the family's 1533-position model. The record is from RNAcentral.
UACGUAGGGGGCAAGCGUUGUCCGGAUUUAUUGGGCGUAAAGAGCGUGUAGGCGGCCAUGUAGGUCCGUUGUGAAAACUCGAGGCUCAACCUCGAGACGCCGAUGGAAACCAUGUGGCUAGAGUCCGGAAGAGGAGAGUGGAAUUCCUGGUGUAGCGGUGAAAUGCGCAGAUAUCAGGAAGAACACCCGUGGCUAAGGCGGCUCUCUGGGCUGGUACUGACGCUGAGGAGCGAAAGCGUGGGGAGCGAACAGG